This 600-nucleotide ribosomal RNA is filed under the name uncultured bacterium. RNAcentral describes it as "bacterial SSU rRNA". It matches the Rfam family "Bacterial small subunit ribosomal RNA", at positions 27 to 621 of the family's 1533-position model. The record is from RNAcentral.
GGAUAACGCUACGGGAGGCUCACACAUGCGAAGCCGAGCGGUAGAGAUUCUUCGGGAAUCUUGAGAGCGGCGCACGGGUGCGGAACACGUGUGCAACCUGCCUUUAUCUGGGGGAUAGCCUUUCGAAAGGGAGAUUAAUACCCCAUAAUAUACUGAGUGGCAUCACUUAUUAUUGAAAACUCCGGUGGAUAGAGAUGGGCACGCGCAAGAUUAGAUAGUUGGUGAGGUAACGGCUCACCAAGUCAAUGAUCUUUAGGGGGCCUGAGAGGGUGAUCCCCCACACUGGUACUGAGACACGGACCAGACUCCUACGGGAGGCAGCAGUGAGGAAUAUUGGACAAUGGGUGAGAGCCUGAUCCAGCCAUCCCGCGUGAAGGACGACGGCCCUAUAGGGUUGUAAACUUCUUUUGUACAGGGAUAAACCUUUCCACGUAGUGGAAAGCUGAAGGUACUGUACGAAUAAGCACCGGCUAACUCCGUGCCAGCAGCCAGCGGUAAUACGGAGAGGUGCAAGCGUUAUCCGGAUUUAUUGGGUUUAAAGGGUCCGUAGGCGGAUCUGUAAGUCAGAUGGUGAAAUCUCGUCGAACUUAACUAUGAAAC